UGCCAGCAGCCGCGGUAAUACGGAGGGUCCAAGCGUUAAUCGGAAUUACUGGGCGUAAAGCGCGCGUAGGCGGUUUGACAAGUUGGGUGUGAAAUCCCCGGGCUUAACCUGGGAACUGCAUUCAAAACUUUUAAACUGGAGUACGGGAGAGGAGAGUAGAAUUCAUGGUGUAGCGGUGAAAUGCGUAGAUAUCAUGAGGAAUACCAAUGGCGAAGGCAACUCUCUGGACCGUAACUGACGCUGAGGUGCGAAAGCGUGGGUAGCAAACAGGAUUAGAUA
RNAcentral lists this ribosomal RNA (279 nucleotides) under uncultured bacterium. Its description in RNAcentral is "partial 16S ribosomal RNA". It matches the Rfam family "Bacterial small subunit ribosomal RNA", at positions 506 to 784 of the family's 1533-position model. The record is from RNAcentral.